GUAGACGUUAGCUUAGUGGUUAGAGCACAGGCCUCUGGCUCUCGGGUCCGCGAGUUCGAGUCCCGUCGUCUACU
Non-coding RNA from Nasonia vitripennis (jewel wasp), 74 nucleotides. NCBI's taxonomy places the organism in Eukaryota, Metazoa, Arthropoda, Insecta, Hymenoptera, Pteromalidae. The record is from Rfam.